This 490-nucleotide ribosomal RNA is filed under the name uncultured bacterium. RNAcentral describes it as "partial 16S ribosomal RNA". It matches the Rfam family "Bacterial small subunit ribosomal RNA", at positions 30 to 507 of the family's 1533-position model. The record is from RNAcentral.
AUUGAACGCUGGCGGCAGGCCUAACACAUGCGAGUCGAACGGUAACAGGAAACAGCUUGCUGUUUCGCUGACGAGUGGCGGACGGGUGAGUAAUGUCUGGGAAACUGCCUGAUGGAGGGGGAUAACUACUGGAAACGGUAGCUAAUACCGCAUAACGUCGCAAGACCAAAGAGGGGGACCUUCGGGCCUCUUGCCAUCGGAUGUGCCCAGAUGGGAUUAGCUAGUAGGUGGGGUAACGGCUCACCUAGGCGACGAUCCCUAGCUGGUCUGAGAGGAUGACCAGCCACACUGGAACUGAGACACGGUCCAGACUCCUACGGGAGGCAGCAGUGGGGAAUAUUGCACAAUGGGCGCAAGCCUGAUGCAGCCAUGCCGCGUGUAUGAAGAAGGCCUUCGGGUUGUAAAGUACUUUCAGCGGGGAGGAAGGGAGUAAAGUUAAUACCUUUACUCAUUGACGUUACCCGCAGAAGAAGCACCGGCUAACUCCGUG